GGUUUUUGGGGUGCCCGAUCCAGGGCACCAAUCUGUUUUUUUAACCAUUGGUUUAAACCCUUGAUUUUAACAUGUGGUCCUUCAUCCAAAACAUCAUGUUUCAAGGAUUUAUUUAACACAACUAUUUGAUCUUCUUUAUUCCCCUCUAAGAUCAGACUAAAGAAGUUGAUUUGGAGCUCAAAAAACGCCACAUGUCGAUUCUAACUCUAUGAUUGGAUUAUUGAUGAGACAAUGAGAUCUACAAAAACAAGCUUAUGGCAAAAGUAAUCAGGGUGGCAGACAUAGCAUCUUGAGUUCUAUUUCUACCACGUCCUGAUUUAAAAUAUUUUUUUUUAAAAAAUAAUAAUAAUAUGAGAUCAAAGGCUUUCAUAUCUUAAUCUUUCGUUUUUUUUUUCUAUUUUAGAAGUUGACUGCAAAGUAAAUCAAAGAUGUUUUGUAAAACUUUUGAUCACAACACAAAAAUCAAAGAUCUUCUCUGAAACUUUCAAG
RNAcentral lists this long non-coding RNA (489 nucleotides) under Amborella trichopoda. RNAcentral's name for it is "long non-coding RNA (ATRI_LNC002004)". The record is from RNAcentral. Lineage: Eukaryota; Viridiplantae; Streptophyta; Magnoliopsida; Amborellales; Amborellaceae.